UGACCUCGUGAUCUGCCCACCUCGGCCUCCCAAAGUGCUGGGAUUACAGGCGGAAGCCACUGCGCUGGGCCUAUCUCCCUCUUAAAAGGGCCGUUGGGAUUAUUUUAAGUCCACCUGGAGAGCCCAGGAUGCUCUUCUCAUCUCAAAGUCCUUAAUCACAGCAAUGAUAUCUCUUUUGCUGUAUUUUCUAUAUUCAUAGUUUCAGAGAAUAAAAACGUGGACAUCUUUUGAGGUGGGGAAGCAUUAUGCUGUCUACCAUAGAUCAAAGCAAUUAGGCUGAAUGAAAAAAAGCCAUCCUCAAAUGUUAUCUAGUCAUGACUCCAUUUAUACAGCAAAAUACCUGUUUGUUAACAAAAAAGACAAAACUCAAAAAUGUAGCUCAGAUCUGCUAAAUGGAUUUUAGGUUUAGGCAAAUUCAACCACCUUGCCACAGGUAAUCCCAGCAAGAAGUUGCAGAUACAAACUUGAGCUUUCUGCAGUCAGAUUCAUUCCCCAGAGAAAGGCAGGAGAAACUGAGCUCCACAUUCCAAGGUUUUCCAAUCUGCUAAUUACUCCACCUCUCAAGAUACAUUAGUGCGUUAUGCCAACUGGGUGCCCCUUGCAUGAAAAGAAAUAAAAGAUAUAGGGAAGAACUAUUCCUUUUAACAAUUGUAUUGUUUAAUUUUGUUUAGGCUUAGCAGUGCAUGAGACUCUUAUACUUUUUGAAGGUUGUACAUAUUUCACAAUAAAAUUAAAAUUCGAAAUAAUCAAGAGAAGGCCCUAAGACUGUAAGAAGUACGUUCAUUGUGGAGGGCUUUCAUGACAAUUCUAAAUUUGGGACUUUUGAGGGUAUAAAAUGGAAAGCAAUUGAGACUUUGUAAUCGAGGAAGUAACAAGUUCAGAGCUGCAUUGGGAGAUGACUGCAAUGACUGUAUAAGAUAAGGAUGAAUACCGAGGGUGUAUAACAAGAUCAGCGAGAAGAGGAUUGCCAUUGUUCCACCUGGACCAGAGCCUAGCGGGAGAAAAACAAGCAGGGCCAGGGUGCAACAGCGGCUGGACAGGGAGAAAGCAGCAGUCAAGGAGCAUUCAGGGCACAAGGACUGUCCGUAAGUGGAAGCAUCUACUGAGGCUUAGACGAAUAUAACCAUGAAUAUCAAUAAGAUCCUUGAUCCUUCUCAGCAUAGAAAGUUCAAUCUACAGCUGGAGUGGGAGACAGAGGGAUCCAGACUGACCAAACCAUCAUCUUCAACACGUGGCUCUGGGGGUUAUCCUGGGAUCCUGGGAGACAACAUCCAGCUGACACUAAGUCCCUCUUCUGUAGGGCUCCUGCAGUUUUCCAGGGGUUCACUUCAGGUCCUAUUCAUCUGGUUCGCCCCCUCACUUGGAGAUGUCACUCAAGGAAGCUGGAGAACAGCAAAGGUGGAUGCCUGCUCCUUCUUCUGGGAUCUCGGACCUCGACGGGCACCAAUCUGAUGCCUGUAGGAUUGCUCCCCUGCCCUGUUCUGUUCUGUCCUUGAGCCUCUGGUUGGAGCUAUUGGAGUUCCUGCAGGGAAGCCCCAACCAAUGAGGAAGGAUGGGUCAGGGUCAGGCCUGAAGAGGUGCCCUGGCUGCAGCCUGCCACAGCCAGUGUGUUGCACUUUAGGGGACACAUCUUGAGACUAAGCCCUCCAGCCUCCCUGGCUUUAGCAGGGGAAAGUGCAGCCAGGAGCUGUAGAGAUGGAUGCUGUCCUUCCCCUGCCCAGGGGGCUUAGCAUGUUAGUUGCCAGACCCAGUGCUGGCUGCUGCUCCUCCCCCAAGGAGUUCAAAGGGCUUAGACAGCAUACAGCCGCAGCAUUGGUGCCGGUUUCCCCUUCCGCUGGGAGUUCAGUAGGCUCCAGCUGAGAGGCUGUUGAGAAUCUGCACAGCUCCAGGGUUGGGAUGCUAGGCCCUGGUGGCGUGGGUUCGCAAGUGGAAUCUGAUCCAUGAGUUGCACAAUUCCGUGGUAACAGCACGGUUUCCUUGGCUGGGUAGCAUGCUCACUCGCUGCCUUCCUUGGCUCGGGAGAGGGGGCUCCCCUGCCCGUGUGGCUCUCAGACAGGCUUCCGCACCACACUGUUCUUCCUCUCUAUGGAUCGCACCAGCCUUCUAGUCAGUUCUGAUGAGAGAACCUGGAUACCUUGCUUGCCAGGGAGGGAUUCACAUGCUUAUUAUGGUACUUUUUUGAGAAAAUUUAAACUUUAUCAAUUUUGUCUCUUUAAUAUGAAAAUUGGGAAAAAAUUAUAAAAGUUAAAGCUUCUCUAGGGCUGAGGUUGUUAUUUGUCAUUCAAUCUGUCUAUCUGCAAAUACAAUGCAUGAUCAUCCUGGGUAUUCUGCAAAUGUUUACUCAUUGAAAAAAUAAAUUCCAUCUUAUAUCCCUUCCUCCUUCUUCAUACAAAUAUAUUGAUGUAAUAGUUGCUUAUUAAAUAUUUCAUUGACUUUUUAAUGAA
Molecule: long non-coding RNA, 2444 nt
Filed under: Homo sapiens (human)
Lineage: Eukaryota; Metazoa; Chordata; Mammalia; Primates; Hominidae
Description: HSALNT0309161
Source: RNAcentral